UUGUUAUAGCAAUUGUAACCAGUUCUGAAGGAGUCUAUCCAUCCUCUAUGUGACAAUUUACAAAGGCAAAAAUAGAAAAACUGUUUUUUUUUAAUAUAUGGGCUUAAUUACAAUGAUAUUUUUUAAAUAUAUGGUUAUAGGGGAAAAACAACAGAAUUUUAAAACUCAGUACAUUAAAUGAACAGUAUAACAGAAUAAUAUUGAAUCCAGUAAUAUAUGAACUUAAAAUCACAAAGUUAUAUCUUAAACAAAACAAUCAGAAAAAUGCAGAGAUUUGUAUAAACCAUUGGAGUCUGAAAUGCCUUAAAAAUCAUAACCUCCAGUCUUUAAAGUUCCUUGGGUUAUUAUCCAUGUAAAUGCCUAUUGUCAGAAGGCAGAGUGGUAAGGGCUAAGCAAUGGGGGUUAAGGGACCCAUCCAGGGCCCCACAGCUGGGGAGUAUCUGAGGCCAGAUUUUAACCCAGGACUGCAUGUCUUUAGGCCUGGCUCUCAGUUCCCUGAGCCACCCAUUCACCCCUUCAAAGUUGAAUCUUUGGGCUGAAUCUUUCUUCUGGCACGAAGGUGAAAUCAAUGAAAUCACCAGAACAGUCAAAAGUUCUAAGAGAAGGGAAGAGUUUGGAAAUAGUUUUGGUUCUGACUGACAGGAGGAAACUGAAAGAAUUCUUCUAAUGUCUCUUAUAAUUAGUGAAUUGCCUUGGUUUCUUGAUCAUGAUGAGAAACAUCAGGAUGAAGCUGAAAAAAGAAUGAUGCAUGCCCUGGAAAUGACUCAAAUGUUCCUGCAUAAGAACUCCUCAAACUAGACUCCAGAAGUCACAGAGAUAUGGAGUUGGCUUUGGGACCUUCUGAAACAUCCUACUUAAGUUUCUGAUUACCAAGAUGUCACUGAACCUGUUUCUGGCACUCUCCCUCUUGUGUCUAGAACACACCACCCGUACAUAACAUGCCGUGAUCCCUUCCUGGAUCAGCCCAUUACCCACCUAUCACCUGGCUCCUUUUGUUUGGAAAUCAUAAAAUAGCAUUUUUGCUGUUUCAAGCUAAGCUUUGUAGCAACAACCUAAACUGUUUUAUACACAUGUUGUCUUUGCUUAAUAAAUUUUUAAUAAAAAAUAUUCUUGUUAUACA
RNAcentral lists this long non-coding RNA (1120 nucleotides) under Monodelphis domestica (gray short-tailed opossum). RNAcentral describes it as "lncRNA (ENSMODG00000034721.2)". Lineage: Eukaryota; Metazoa; Chordata; Mammalia; Didelphimorphia; Didelphidae. The record is from RNAcentral.